RNAcentral lists this ribosomal RNA (419 nucleotides) under bacterium. Its description in RNAcentral is "partial 16S ribosomal RNA". It matches the Rfam family "Bacterial small subunit ribosomal RNA", at positions 355 to 776 of the family's 1533-position model. The record is from RNAcentral.
UGGGGGAUAUUGCACAAUGGGCGAAAGCCUGAUGCAGCGACGCCGCGUGGGGGAUGAAGGCCUUCGGGUUGUAAACUUCUUUUGCUCUGAACAAGGCCUGCUAAUGGGUGUGUUGAGUGUAGGGGUUGAUUAGCGCCGGCUAACUACGUUCCAGCAGCCGCGGUAAUACGUAUGGCGCGAGCGUUGUCCGGAUUUAUUGGGCGUAAAGGGCUUGUAGGUGGCUGGUUGCGUCGGUCGUGAAAGCUCAUGGCUUAACUGUGGGUUUGCGGUGGGUACGGGCUGGCUUGAGUGGAGUAGGGGAGGCUGGAAUUCCUGGUGUAGCGGUGGAAUGCGGAGAUAUCAGGAGGAAUACCGGUGGCGAAGGCGGGUCUCUGGGCUGUUACUGACACUGAGGAGCGAAAGCAGGGGGAGCGAACAGG